UGGAAUAUUUGGUAUCUUUAGCCUGGUUUUAGUUCUCUGACAGCAAUUAGCAAUGCUAAACUUGAGAGCAAAAGGAGUUGUAAGAAGAAAGGAGUUGUAAGAAGUGUUCCUUAGAAAUUGUACACUAAACUGCUUGCACAUUUUCAUGCAUGUUGGCACUCACCUUGGAGCACAAUUAAAUGGAAAUCAGUAGCAAAAAUACAAUCUGCAUAGUGGUAAUCUAAUCCUAGAAUUUGGCUUCAUUUAUAUAUUUCAAAGUGGUUCCAUGAUUUUAUAUUUUGCGCAUUUUCAUGCAUGUUGGCACUCACCUUGGAGCACAAUUAAAUGGAAAUCAGUAGCAAAAAUACAAUCUGCAUAGUGGUAAUCUAAUCCUAGAAUUUGGCUUCAUUUAUAUAUUUCAAAGUGGUUCCAUGAUUUUAUAUUUUGCGUACUAUGUUCACACUGUAACUUUUAACUUGGGAUUUUAAGUGCG
Molecule: long non-coding RNA, 472 nt
Filed under: Triticum aestivum (bread wheat)
Lineage: Eukaryota; Viridiplantae; Streptophyta; Magnoliopsida; Poales; Poaceae
Description: long non-coding RNA (TAES_LNC025045)
Source: RNAcentral